UAUCAAUGGCGUAUGAAAUGUUUCGGAGCAUAUCAACGGUAUAUGGAACAUUUCGAAGCAUAUCAACAAUGAAUGAAAUAUUUCGGAGCAUAUAAAUAACAAAUGAAAUGUUUCGGAGCUUAUCAGUGGCGUAUGAAAUGUUCCGGAGCAUAUCAAUGGCGUAUGGAACAUUUCGGAGCAUAUCAAUAACAAAUACCAAACAGAAGCUCAAACGUCGUCUUUGACGUUGCAUUCAUAUCAUUCUUAUCCAAAGCAUGUACAGAAACACAUAACCAAAGCUCUGGAUAUCAUAUCAAACAUACAGAAGGUGAAGUGGGACCAAAACAUAAUAUGGUACAUCCAUUUCUGAAUGACCACCAAACAUAAGUCUCCCAUGUCUGGGAGGUCUCCCACGUCUGGGAGCUCCAUCCACCCACGUCUAAGUGAAGUCAUAGGGGCCGACAGAGCAUCUCAGGCUCUAUGCAUAACUCCCUUCACCAUUUCUGGCGAAGGUUCACAAUAUCCCACAAACACCAGAGUACAAAAGGAUAGUAUG
RNAcentral lists this long non-coding RNA (535 nucleotides) under Musa acuminata (dwarf banana). Its description in RNAcentral is "long non-coding RNA (MACU_LNC011590)". Lineage: Eukaryota; Viridiplantae; Streptophyta; Magnoliopsida; Zingiberales; Musaceae. The record is from RNAcentral.